GAUUGUAGGCUGCAACUCGCCUACAUGAAGUCGGAGUUGCUAGUAAUCGCGGAUCAGAAUGCCGCGGUGAAUGCGUUCCCGGGUCUUGUACACACCGCCCGUCACACCAUGGAAGUUGGGGCGCCCGAAGUUGCCUAAGAAAUAAGGUACCUAAGGCGAAACCAAUGACUGGGGUGAAGUCGUAACAAGGUAGC
Molecule: ribosomal RNA, 194 nt
Filed under: uncultured bacterium
Lineage: Bacteria
Description: partial 16S ribosomal RNA
Rfam family: Bacterial small subunit ribosomal RNA
Source: RNAcentral